Molecule: long non-coding RNA, 426 nt
Organism: Chinchilla lanigera (long-tailed chinchilla)
Lineage: Eukaryota; Metazoa; Chordata; Mammalia; Rodentia; Chinchillidae
Exons: 3
Source: RefSeq, a predicted model, not a curated record
AAAAAAAAAAAAAAAGAAAACAAAAGAAGUCAGAACUGAGUGGCUGGGACUCGGCUCAGUGUGUCCUUCCUUCCCGCUCCCACAGCAGCCCAAAACCUUCUGCCCUCGGGUGACGGGGUUGGAGGAGUGGGAAUGCAGUAAUUCGCAGAGGGAAAGGGAGGGUUCUUCUCCUGCGCUGUUCUCUGCUAGGUGAUCGUCACCUCGAUUCCCGGCCAAGAGCUCGAGGCUGAGGUCUUUGACAAGGACUUGGACAAGGACGACUUUCUGGGCAGGUGUAAAGUGAGCCUCGCCGCGGUCCUGGGCAGUGGCUUCCUGGACGAGUGGCUGGCCCUGGACGACGUCCCCUCCGGCCGCCUGCACUUGCGCCUGGAGCGCCUGGCCCCGCGGCCCACCGCUGCCGACUUGGAGGAGGUGCGGGGCUGGAGG